This is a long non-coding RNA of Saccostrea cuccullata (small rock oyster), 621 nucleotides long. RefSeq lists it as uncharacterized. The transcript has 2 exons. The record is from RefSeq and is a predicted model, not a curated record. NCBI's taxonomy places the organism in Eukaryota, Metazoa, Mollusca, Bivalvia, Ostreida, Ostreidae.
CUUUUGUUUUUGUUAUUGAAAUAAUUAAUAAUGUGAAAUGCACAACAUUGUAAUAGCCUGCAUGUAGGCUUUCAAAUUAUUGGUACCGGGUAGCUGAUUAAACAAUUUUAAUUGAUGACGAUCUUAAUUUUUAUAGGAAUUGGCGGGCUUGAACAAAACAGAUAUGUCCGGAUCUGUAAGUGAACGCAAGAAUGUUAACCAGUGAGAUGAAAUGCCGGGAUGGAAAAACCCUCUUCACUCUGAGACUAUUGAUGUGACAUUUUCUGUAUAUGGAAGGGACUGAUUUAUAUGUGUGGGAAAACAUGGAUUCUAAGAACAAAAAACAACAGAAAAAGUGAUAAAUGAUUCAAAUAUGACCUUUCAAAACUGUACAAUUAGAACUUGAAGACUCUUAUAUCAAAGCGAUAUUUAGUAGUGGACAUAGUGAUGUGGAAUGUACUUGAGAAACCUUGAACUUUCUACCUCUUCCCUCUUUUAGUUACAUUCCAUGGAAUACUUUAAUGAAAGUGAAAGUGGCAAAGAAUACAUUGUGAUACAUUUUAGGAGGAAAAAAGUAUUUGACCAAACAUGGUGAAAUUAAUUGUGUCAUAUAAUCUGGGAAAUAAAAAUUACAGAAUUUAA